This 2289-nucleotide long non-coding RNA is filed under the name Homo sapiens (human). RNAcentral describes it as "HSALNT0287143". The record is from RNAcentral. Lineage: Eukaryota; Metazoa; Chordata; Mammalia; Primates; Hominidae.
UUUAUUUUUUGUUUUUAUUUAUUUUUCUGCAUACAUAGUAGGUGUAUAUAUUUUGGGAGUACAUAAAAUGUUUUGAUAAAGGCAUGAAAUGUGAAAUAAGCACAUCAUGGAGAAGGGGAUAUCCAUCCCCUCAAGCAUUUAUCCUUUGAGUUACAAAUAAUCCAAUUACACUCUAAGUUAUUUCAAAAUGUACAAUUAAGUUUUUAUUGACUAUAGUCACCCUAUUGGGUUAUCUAUAUUGUCCAUCCAUGCAUCCAUCCAUCCAUCUGUCCAUCCAUCUAUUCAUCCAUCCAUCUGUCCAUCCAUCUAUUCAUCCAUCCUGCCAUCCAUCCAUCCAUCCAUCCAUCCAUCCAUCCAUCCAUCCAUCCAUUUAUCGACUCCUUUAAAAGAUAUUCACAAGGCAUCCAUUAUGUACCAGGUGGUAGGUAUCCUGUGCAUUGGGAAUGCAGCAGUAAACAAAUAGACCUUGUUCCUGCCUGCAAGAACUUAAAAUCUGCUUGAAGAACUAAAGAACUAGACCCCAAAUGAGUAAACUCUGAAAAAUUUACAAUAAUAGUGGAAAGUAUUAACAUAAAGUAAAAUUGCAUGGAUAUAAUCGAUAAUAUUAUAGACAGUUUUUUCCUUCAUAGAGACAAUGGUCUAGCGAGAAUACGUAAAUUUAAAAAGCAGUUAUAAUACCUUGUCAUAAAUGCUAUGAUAGGAGAUGGAUAAAACACUCUCGGCAGAGGAUAGCAGAAACUUCCCUAAGCUGUAGAAAAGUUGGAGAUCAGGCAGGAAAUCUUCUCACAAUGAUAUUUAACCAUAACCAGUUGGAGAAGAGUUAGAGAAAUACUCUAGGUACAGGAAAAUAUGUGUGCAAAGGCUGCAAGGCCAGAGGACCUGGUGCAUUUAAGGAACUAAACAAAGUUUGAUACAAACAGAAUUUAAAAAUAACUGAAGAAAUAGAUGAAGCUGUGGAAAGGAUAUGAAGAUCCUGGUGAGAAAGUAGUUGAACUGAGAAUCCAUAGACUUUCCAUAGAAUUUGAGUUGAAUACAUAUCACCCAGUGGGCUGAAACCAGGUAAAAUUUUAUUACAUGCUCAAAUGAAGACAAAGGGCAAGUAUAGUAAGAGCAGUUGAGUGAGAGAAUGCAAGAAUAAGAUGUUUUAGUCAGAGAAUGAAAUGACAGAAUUUAUAUCAGAGGUUGAUAAGUUAUGGGUGAAAAAAAAUCAGAGUGAGGCAAUAGGCGUGGGGGAUUAAGAUGGAGGGGAAGGACCACAGAUUACUGAGGAUGAAGAGAUAGACCAAGGGGCAUAUGAACAAUGAAGUAAUCUAGGACUAUGAUUAAACUAGGGACUCUUAGCUGGCGACAAGCUUUCAAUGAACAGGGGAAAGUUAUUAAAAGCUCAUGGGUAACUGAUUCAAAUUGUGCUGUCCAAUACUGCAACUGCCCACCAUAUGUGGCUACUGAGCACUUAAAAUGUUUUAAGUACACCAUGGUAAAUACAAUGUUAUUUUUUAAAUGAAUUUUGGCUUUCUUUUUACUUGUUUAAUGUGGCUACCAGAAAAUUUAAAAUUAGAUGCGCAGUUUGCAUGUCGGUUCAGAUUAUAUUUCUAAUGGACAGUGCUUGAUAAUAGAAAGAAACAGAGAGUGUUUUAGCUCAAUAAAAUGAUGCAUGAGGAGCCAGAAAUAUUUUAUAUAUUAUAUAGCAAUAAUUGUUGAUGGAAUUAUCUAAAUAUUUUGUUUUCAUGUGCUUUUAUUACAUCAUAAAGGUGUGUAGAAAAUAAAGCUGCCAAUACUAGUGUUAAUACAAUCGUGGCUAAAUCGACGUAAUUAUCUACACCAAAAUAUAUUUGUCCCUUAACUUGAAUUGGAUUACCACUGACCAAUACAUCAUACUUGAACAAAGAGAUGAUUUCUUGCUACUAAAUAAACAAGUUCAUAGGCAGUUCCUGGAAGACCCCAAAAUUUUCUGUUGCUCUGAUCCUCAUUGCUUUGCCCUUGGUAUUGACGAGUAAGCCGAUUGGCUUUUCUUUAUUUGGGUGAUAAGAUCUGUGUCAAUAAUUGAGUUUAUGGAGAGUAGACCAAUCCAGCUGAGUAAUUUGGAUAAGAAAGUUCUUCUUGCAGUUUAAUUUUCUAAAAUUUUACCCACAGCGCAGGAAAGUAGCUGUGGCCAGACCGCUUUUCCAGAUUGCUCUUCACUGUGCAGGGCACCCCUGAGACAUCAGGAGCUGCGCAGAUGCAGGAAAGAGACUCCGCAAUAGUCCAGACAAGUUACUAAAACAAAAAUUUAAAAACCAAUUGUUUAAA